Notothenia coriiceps (black rockcod) is the source of this 219-nucleotide long non-coding RNA. RefSeq lists it as uncharacterized. The transcript has 5 exons. The record is from RefSeq and is a predicted model, not a curated record. Lineage: Eukaryota; Metazoa; Chordata; Actinopteri; Perciformes; Nototheniidae.
ACACGGAGGGCAGCUGCACAAUGAUCUGCUUUGUGAAUCUGGACCCUCAGAAAACAGACUAUCGCGACGACAAAAGCAUCAAGAAACUGGCAUCGGUGUCUCCAGACCUGCCAAAGAUGGUGGAAUUGCUGACUGUCCACCAGCCCAAAGAAAAUGAGAUCCUACUUCUGGGUGGGCUGGAGGCCUCAGAAACCUGCCAAACAAUCCCCCUCUCCCCCU